This 369-nucleotide ribosomal RNA is filed under the name Triticum aestivum (bread wheat). RNAcentral describes it as "partial small subunit ribosomal RNA". The record is from RNAcentral. Lineage: Eukaryota; Viridiplantae; Streptophyta; Magnoliopsida; Poales; Poaceae.
AUGGCGGAGGCUCGGAGGCGACCCGGAGGUGAACUGCAUAUGUGCGAGCUCAAGCACAACCACAAGACCUCAAUUCCGACGUUCCUCUCCACCUGUGGCAACUUCACACUCACGAGGGUGAGUGCCAUGGUCGUCUAUGUUGGGCUUCUGCACGACAGCGUUGAUGAUUCGUUUGUUGAAUAUGAUCACAUCUUCCACAUGUUCGGUGCUGGAGUGGCUGAUCUCGUGGAAGGGUUAUGUAUUCCUCUUCUCACGGAUUUUGACCAUUGUUUAAGAGGGAUUCGGAUAAUGGGUUUGGUAGUUAGUACAUUCAUAUUCGUUGGCAUCCUCAAGCUGUUGGCUAGAUCUACUGCAAAUAUUGUGAUUUAA